UGACCUCAGAUCAGACAAGGAUACCCGCUGAACUUAAGCAUAUCAAUAAGCGGAGGAAAAA
RNAcentral lists this ribosomal RNA (61 nucleotides) under Dactylella tenuis. RNAcentral describes it as "partial 28S large subunit ribosomal RNA". It matches the Rfam family "Eukaryotic large subunit ribosomal RNA", at positions 1 to 61 of the family's 3401-position model. The record is from RNAcentral. Lineage: Eukaryota; Fungi; Ascomycota; Orbiliomycetes; Orbiliales; Orbiliaceae.